GCAAACAUACUUCCCAACCCAAAUUCUUGGUUUUCCUCCCCAUCUCAAAUCCCUCACCGUCCAAGAAUCCAGAAUUGGAGUGGGUUGUGGAGGAGGAGGUCGUGGAGGUGCCGGCUACUCAUUCCUCAUUGCUUUCCUUGGGUCGGACUGAAAUUUGGUCUGCCUCUCAACCAUUGGAUCUCAACUCGAAGGAACUCUAGUUGCGGGAAUAUCACUGCAAGGAUGCUUCAAUCGGUAGGUACAUUGCUUCUUUGGAGCCAUGGGGACCGUGGAGACCGCCAAAGAUUGAUUGGAAGGGAAUGGAGUCACUGGAGAAGAGGGAAGAAGGUUUGGAGUGGGUUUUGGCACAAAAGAAAUGAAUUAGAAGUGCCACGGCGAUGGGAUGACCCAUUUUAAAGUGCCCAUCCCCAACACAAGUGUCAACUCGAGUGAAUGCUUGAUUCAACCCUUGAAUAGAGGGGAGAGAAGGGGAAGAAGAGUUUAUAUCAAAAAUCCGUCUUUUGAUUCCAAAGGUGAGAUAGCUGAAUAUAUUCUUUGCUUUUGUUGUAGUUUUAUAAUUUUCUAGUUUGUGUAAAAUAAAUGCCUUACAGGUUCCACAGCAGAGGAAUGACGAGGAAUGUGGCAUGUUAGUCCUUUAUGUUAUAUACCUUUUCCUCCAAAAUGCUCUCGAGAAUUUCAAUCAAGAGAGAUAUCCUCAUUUUGUUAGUUUUUAUGCUUUAUUCUUUUUCUAAUUUCAAACCUCAUAGUGUAUCAGAUGUUAUGAAAAUAAAUCUCUGCAUAUUCUUUUAUUUUUUAACUAACUGCACAAUGGCGUACUUUGGAAGACUUGGAAUAGAGAUCAUCAAAUAUUAGCGAAUAGAGAUCUUAUUAUAAAUAUCUUCAAAUUAGGAUCCAGAAUUAGCAAUCACAGUCCCAUACUCCAACUUAUGCACCUUUGCAGUUCCAGAGCUCCUUCUAGGCCCUACCACCAUCAUACUUUGCAAUGCAACUAUAGUCACCGUCAUCCUCUCAGUCCCAAAUGUAAAGUCAUGAGCUUGUUAUCCAAUAGGCAGAAGGAUCCAUCCUAGUAUCUCAUGAUUCUGAAAUCAAAGAAAUUGAGAAGAAUGGACGGAUUCAGUGUAUGGGAAAGUUCCAUAGAAUUAAAAAGUCUGAUGCUUCAUGAUCUCGAUCUAUAGACGUUCAAGAGGUACGAGCCAUGAAGGAUAAAUUCAAGGCUUAGGAGGAAUUGUUCUGAUCUUGUAACACUGCUCAGGCCUCAGAGAUGGUUUUCUGAUAAGCAUAUCUUAAAUACAGCAAACCAAGUAAAAAAUUGAUAGGUUUGAUGUUAAUUUAUUUCAUUUGAAAAUGAAGAUUGUAACUUAUGUAAUUUAUCUACAUCAUUCAUAGGUGCUCAAUGCUGCUAGUACAGCAGAUGAUUCUUCACAGGAUGCUCCUUGGGUUCGAGUUAUCAUAUCC
Molecule: long non-coding RNA, 1455 nt
Filed under: Elaeis guineensis (African oil palm)
Lineage: Eukaryota; Viridiplantae; Streptophyta; Magnoliopsida; Arecales; Arecaceae
Description: long non-coding RNA (EGUI_LNC075626)
Source: RNAcentral